Molecule: ribosomal RNA, 493 nt
Filed under: uncultured bacterium
Lineage: Bacteria
Description: partial 16S ribosomal RNA
Rfam family: Bacterial small subunit ribosomal RNA
Source: RNAcentral
AUUGAACGCUGGCGGCAUGCUUUACACAUGCAAGUCGAACGGUAACAGGUUAAGCUGACGAGUGGCGAACGGGUGAGUAAUGCAUCGGAACGUGCCCGGUCGUGGGGGAUAACACUUCGAAAGAAGUGCUAAUACCGCAUACGAUCUGAGGAUGAAAGCGGGGGACCGUAAGGCCUCGCGCGAACGGAGCGGCCGAAGUCAGAUUAGGUAGUUGGUGGGGUAAAGGCCCACCAAGCCGACGAUCUGUAGCUGGUCUGAGAGGACGACCAGCCACACUGGGACUGAGACACGGCCCAGACUCCUACGGGAGGCAGCAGUGGGGAAUUUUGGACAAUGGGCGCAAGCCUGAUCCAGCAAUGCCGCGUGCAGGAAGAAGGCCUUCGGGUUGUAAACUGCUUUUGUACGGAGCGAAAAGGCUCCCUCUAAUACAGGGGGCUGAUGACGGUACCGUAAGAAUAAGCACCGGCUAACUACGUGCCAGCAGCCGCCGCGG